RNAcentral lists this ribosomal RNA (443 nucleotides) under uncultured bacterium. RNAcentral's name for it is "partial 16S ribosomal RNA". It matches the Rfam family "Bacterial small subunit ribosomal RNA", at positions 338 to 795 of the family's 1533-position model. The record is from RNAcentral.
CCUACGGGAGGCAGCAGUGGGGAAUAUUGCACAAUGGGCGAAAGCCUGAUGCAGCAACGCCGCGUGAAGGAAGACGGUUUUCGGAUUGUAAACUUCUAUCAAUAGGGAAGAAAGAAAUGACGGGACCUAAAUAAGAAGCCGCGGCUAACGACGUGCCAGCAGCCGCGGUAAUACGUAGGGGGCAAGCGUUAUCCGGAAUUACUGGGUGUAAAGGGGGAGUAGGCGGCAAGGUAAGCGAGAUGUGAAAGCCUUAGGCUUAACCACAGGAUUGCAUAACGAACUAUCUAGCUAGAGUACCGGAGAGGUAAGCGGAAUUCCUAGUGUAGCGGUGAAAUGCGUAGAUAUUAGGAAGAACACCAGUGGCGAAGGCGGCUUUCUGGACUGUAACUGACGCUGAGGCUCGAAAGCGUGGGGAGCGAACAGGAUUAGAUACCCGGGUAGUC